Oncorhynchus masou masou (cherry salmon) is the source of this 374-nucleotide long non-coding RNA. RefSeq lists it as uncharacterized. NCBI's taxonomy places the organism in Eukaryota, Metazoa, Chordata, Actinopteri, Salmoniformes, Salmonidae. The transcript is spliced from 3 exons. The record is from RefSeq and is a predicted model, not a curated record.
UCAACCAUACAUGCCAUUUCACAGCUGCAAAAUAUUAUUCCGACAAGCCAUUCUCCGUGUACUGGAUCAAGACCAUCAGCGAAGAAAGCACUUGUCUUUAUUCCUUUUCUUAUGAAAGCCAUGACGCACAAACCUAUAUCCAUCACUGUCUCACUGAUAAGGACUUGCUUAAAAGAGUGACACAUACUUCAUAUCCCUCCCAAAAUGGACGCAACUAUCAUCACCUUAAGAUGAACAAUGUCACACAUUCGGACAGUGGACAGUAUGUGUGUGCCUUAAAAGUACAAGUACAAGGUGAAAAAUGGUAGUCAGCAAAAUCUCACACUCUGAGGAUGAAAAGACGAAGAAGAUCGUUACAACCUGGUUAAAUAAAG